CAAUCUUUGACGCAAUUGCGCUCUUGGGUAGCCCUAGGAGCACGCCUCUCUCAGUAUCGGUUCAACAACCUCUCAACUGCGUAUGCAAAUAUGUUCAGUUGGAUAAUGAGAGUCUGAUUCUUCACGAAUUAGUCUCUUGAAAUACAUCGAGUGAGCAUCAUAUUCCAACACUUCAGUCUUCGGAUUGAAGCCGGUCUCGGACUGGUUGUAUGGGAGUGACGUGAAUACUGACCUUCAUGGUCUCACAUUUACGUGUAACUUUCAUCGACUAUGAAAAGUCUAGGAUAGGUGUGUAGGAAGAGUUGCCUCAUGUGUCGCGGCCUUCACAAGCUGCAAUCGGCGACGAAUUUAUUCGACGUCUGAAUUUUGAUCUGAGAUGAAGCGAGACAACCCCCUGAAUUUAAGCAUAUUAAUAAGGGGAGGAAAAGAAACUAACAAGGAUUCCCCCAGUAACGGCGAGUGAAGCGGGAAGAGCUCAAUUUGAAAAUCGACUACCUAAGCGGGUCGUCGAGUUGUAGCCUAGAGACGUACUAUCAGCUGAAACCUGGGUAUAAGUUCUUUGGAAUGAGGCAUCAUAGAGGGUGAGAAUCCCGUAUAUGACCCAAAGCUUUCAGCGUACGAUGUAUGUUCAUCGAGUCGAGUUGUUUGGGAUUGCAGCUCUAAAUGGGUGGUAAGUUUCAUCUAAGCUAAAUAUGGC
This 697-nucleotide ribosomal RNA is filed under the name Sandona tetrasimilis. Its description in RNAcentral is "eukaryotic LSU rRNA". The stretch from base 368 to 697 matches the Rfam family "Eukaryotic large subunit ribosomal RNA", at positions 1 to 326 of the family's 3401-position model. The record is from RNAcentral. Lineage: Eukaryota; Cercozoa; Glissomonadida; Sandonidae.